GUGAACGCUGGCUGUAGGCCUAACACAUGCAAGUCGAACGGCAGCACAGUAAGAGCUUGCUCUUACGGGUGGCGAGUGGCGGACGGGUGAGGAAUACAUCGGAAUCUACUUUUUCGUGGGGGAUAACGUAGGGAAACUUACGCUAAUACCGCAUACGACCUACGGGUGAAAGCAGGGGACCUUCGGACCUUGCGCGAUUGAAUGAGCCGAUGUCGGAUUAGCUAGUUGGCGGGGUAAAGGCCCACCAAGGCGACGAUCCGUAGCUGGUGUGAGAGGAUGAUCAGCCACACUGGAACUGAGACACGGUCCAGACUCCUACGGGAGGCAGCAGUGGGGAAUAUUGGACAAUGGGCGCAAGCCUGAUCCAGCCAUACCGCGUGGGUGAAGAAGGCCUUCGGGUUGUAAAGCCCUUUUGUUGGGAAAGAAAAGCAGCAGGUUAAUACCCCGCUGUUCUGACGGUACCCAAAGAAUAAGCACCGGCUAACUUCGUG
RNAcentral lists this ribosomal RNA (491 nucleotides) under uncultured bacterium. Its description in RNAcentral is "partial 16S ribosomal RNA". It matches the Rfam family "Bacterial small subunit ribosomal RNA", at positions 29 to 507 of the family's 1533-position model. The record is from RNAcentral.